Molecule: ribosomal RNA, 497 nt
Filed under: uncultured bacterium
Lineage: Bacteria
Description: partial 16S ribosomal RNA
Rfam family: Bacterial small subunit ribosomal RNA
Source: RNAcentral
GAUGAACGCUGGCGGCGUGCCUAAUACAUGCAAGUCGAGCGAACGGACGAGAAGCUUGCUUCUCUGAUGUUAGCGGCGGACGGGUGAGUAACACGUGGUUAACCUACCUAUAAGACUGGGAUAACUUCGGGAAACCGGAGCUAAUACCGGAUAAUAUUUUGAACCGCAUGGUUCAAAAGUGAAAGACGGUCUUGCUGUCACUUAUAGAUGGAUCCGCGCUGCAUUAGCUAGUUGGUAAGGUAACGGCUUACCAAGGCAACGAUGCAUAGCCGACCUGAGAGGGUGAUCGGCCACACUGGAACUGAGACACGGUCCAGACUCCUACGGGAGGCAGCAGUAGGGAAUCUUCCGCAAUGGGCGAAGGCCUGACGGAGCAACGCCGCGUGAGUGAUGAAGGUCUUCGGAUCGUAAAACUCUGUUAUUAGGGAAGAACAUAUGUGUAAGUAACUGUGCACAUCUUGACGGUACCUAAUCAGAAAGCCACGGCUAACUACGUG